GAGUUUGAUCGUGGCUCAGAUUGAACGCUGGCGGCAUGCCUUACACAUGCAAGUCGAACGGCAGCACGGGAGCUUGCUCCUGGUGGCGAGUGGCGAACGGGUGAGUAAUGCAUCGGAACGUAUCCUGGAGUGGGGGAUAACGUAGCGAAAGUUACGCUAAUACCGCAUAUUCUGUGAGCAGGAAAGCGGGGGACCUUCGGGCCUCGCGCUCUUGGAGCGGCCGAUGUCGGAUUAGCUAGUUGGUGGGGUAAUGGCUCACCAAGGCGACGAUCCGUAACUGGUCUGAGAGGAUGAUCAGUCACACUGGAACUGAGACACGGUCCAGACUCCUACGGGAGGCAGCAGUGGGGAAUAUUGGACAAUGGGCGAAAGCCUGAUCCAGCCAUGCCGCGUGUGUGAAGAAGGUCUUCGGAUUGUAAAGCACUUUAAGUUGGGAGGAAGGGCAGUAAGUUAAUACCUUGCUGUUUUGACGUUACCGACAGAAUAAGCACCGGCUAACUCUGUGCCA
This 508-nucleotide ribosomal RNA is filed under the name bacterium enrichment culture clone ALO1_GLFRUDD03HAY90. Its description in RNAcentral is "bacterial SSU rRNA". It matches the Rfam family "Bacterial small subunit ribosomal RNA", at positions 9 to 510 of the family's 1533-position model. The record is from RNAcentral.